GCNAGGUUCNAAAGCUCCGGCGGUGCAGGAUGAGCCCGCGGCCUAUCNACUNGUUGGUGAGGUAACGGCUCACCAAGGCGACGACGGGUAGCCGGCCUGAGAGGGCGACCGGCCACACUGGGACUGAGACACGGCCCAGACUCCUACGGGAGGCAGCAGUGGGGAAUAUUGCACAAUGGGCGAAAGCCUGAUGCAGCGACGCCGCGUGAGGGAUGACGGCCUUCGGGUUGUAAACCUCUUUCAGCAGGGAAGAAGCGAAAGUGACGGUACCUGCAGAAGAAGCGCCGGCUAACUACGUGCCAGCAGCCGCGGUAAUACGUAGGGCGCAAGCGUUGUCCGGAAUUAUUGGGCGUAAAGAGCUCGUAGGCGGCUUGUCACGUCGGUUGUGAAAGCCCGGGGCUUAACCCCGGGUCUGCAGUCGAUACGGGCAGGCUAGAGUUCGGUAGGGGAGAUCGGAAUUCCUGGUGUAGCGGUGAAAUGCGCAGAUAUCAGGAGGAACACCGGUGGCGAAGGCGGAUCUCUGGGCCGAUACUGACGCUGAGGAGCGAAAGCGUGGGGAGCGAACAGGAUUAGAUACCCUGGUAGUCCACGCCGUAAACGGUGGGCACUAGGUGUGGGCAACAUUCCACGUUGUCCGUGCCGCAGCUAACGCAUUUAAGUGCCCCGCCUGGGGAGUACGGCCGC
RNAcentral lists this ribosomal RNA (684 nucleotides) under Streptomyces sp. RNAcentral describes it as "bacterial SSU rRNA". It matches the Rfam family "Bacterial small subunit ribosomal RNA", at positions 193 to 889 of the family's 1533-position model. Lineage: Bacteria; Bacillati; Actinomycetota; Actinomycetes; Kitasatosporales; Streptomycetaceae. The record is from RNAcentral.